RNAcentral lists this ribosomal RNA (668 nucleotides) under uncultured bacterium. RNAcentral's name for it is "bacterial SSU rRNA". It matches the Rfam family "Bacterial small subunit ribosomal RNA", at positions 202 to 854 of the family's 1533-position model. The record is from RNAcentral.
CAAGGGACUUCUGCUUUUCGAGCGGCCGAUACCAGAUUAACUAGUUGGGUGGGGGUAAAGGGCCACCAAGGGCUUCCAUCUGUAGCGGGGUCUGAAAGGAUGAUCCCGCCACACUGGGGACUGAAACACGGCCCAGAACUCCUACGGGAGGCAGCAGUGGGGGAAUUUUUGGACAAUGGGGCGCAAGCCCUGAUCCAGCCAUGCCGCGUGAGUGAAGAAGGCCUUCGGGUUGUAAAGCUCUUUCAGCCGGAAAGAAAUCGUGCAGAUUAAUACUUUGCAUGGAUGACGGUACCGGCAGAAGAAGCACCGGCUAACUACGUGCCAGCAGCCGCGGUAAUACGUAGGGUGCGAGCGUUAAUCGGAAUUACUGGGCGUAAAGGGUGCGCAGGCGGUUUUGUAAGCCAGAUGUGAAAUCCCCCGGGCUUAACCUGGGAACUGCAUUUGGGACUGCAAGGCUAGAGUACGGCAGAGGGGGGGUAGAAUUCCACGUGUAGCAGUGAAAUGCGUAGAGAUGUGGAGGAAUACCGAUGGCGAAAGGCAGCCCCCUGGGUCGAUACUGACGCUCACGCACGAAGCGUGGGGAGCAACAGGAUUAGAUACCCUGGUAGUCACGCCCUAACGAUGUCACUAGUGGUUGGGGGAAGGAGACUUCUUUAGUACCGCAGCUA